This 64-nucleotide transfer RNA is filed under the name Luteimonas fraxinea. RNAcentral's name for it is "tRNA-Val". The record is from RNAcentral. Lineage: Bacteria; Pseudomonadati; Pseudomonadota; Gammaproteobacteria; Lysobacterales; Lysobacteraceae.
GGGUGAGGUCCAGGCCUUUGCUUUCACACGGCAAGGGUCACAGGUUCAAUCCCUGUACCGCCCA